CCCUCAUAGAUCAGUUGGUAGAAUAACCGCCUUGUAAGCGGUAGGUCAUGGGUUCGAAUCCUAUUGGGGAACCA
This 74-nucleotide transfer RNA is filed under the name Alphaproteobacteria bacterium. Its description in RNAcentral is "tRNA-Thr". It matches the Rfam family "tRNA". Rfam says of the family: Transfer RNA (tRNA) molecules are approximately 80 nucleotides in length. Their secondary structure includes four short double-helical elements and three loops (D, anti-codon, and T loops). Lineage: Bacteria; Pseudomonadati; Pseudomonadota; Alphaproteobacteria. RNAcentral also lists the same sequence under 1 other name. The record is from RNAcentral.